RNAcentral lists this small nucleolar RNA (139 nucleotides) under Ornithorhynchus anatinus (platypus). Lineage: Eukaryota; Metazoa; Chordata; Mammalia; Monotremata; Ornithorhynchidae. The record is from RNAcentral.
CUCCUCUCAGAGUCACACCUGGAGAGUUUCUAGUACUCUACCAGUCUUGACUAUAGGAGGGAGAGACAAGCAGAGGCCUACCCAUUCCAUUCCUAGCUUGGGCAGUAGCUAGCGAUUGGGAAAGCUAUCUACUACAGGU